UGGGGAAUCUUGCGCAAUGGGCGAAAGCCUGACGCAGCGACGCCGCGUGAGGGAAGAAGGCCUUCGGGUUGUAAACCUCUUUCAGGAGGGACGAAGCUACUCGGGUGAAUAGCCCAGAGGGUGACGGUACCUCCAGAAGAAGCCCCGGCUAACUACGUGCCAGCAGCCGCGGUAAUACGUAGGGGGCAAGCGUUGUCCGGAUUUACUGGGCGUAAAGAGCGUGUAGGCGGCCAAACAGGUCCGUUGUGAAAACUGGAGGCUUAACCUCCAGACGUCGACGGAAACCGUAUGGCUAGAGUCCGGAAGAGGAGAGUGGAAUUCCUGGUGUAGCGGUGAAAUGCGCAGAUAUCAGGAAGAACACCAAUGGCGAAGGCAGCUCUCUGGGACGGUACUGACGCUGAGACGCGAAAGCGUGGGGAGCGAACAGG
This 428-nucleotide ribosomal RNA is filed under the name Bacillota bacterium. Its description in RNAcentral is "Firmicutes bacterium partial 16S ribosomal RNA". It matches the Rfam family "Bacterial small subunit ribosomal RNA", at positions 355 to 776 of the family's 1533-position model. Lineage: Bacteria; Bacillati; Bacillota. The record is from RNAcentral.